UGUGGAGAUAUGCUGGCUCUAUACACGCUAAAAGUACUGAUUAUUUACAUGGAGUCUGGUGUAUUUAGCGAAAGCAAUUUCGUGGAUGUUUUUAUGCUAAAAAAAGGAUCUUACUCUUUAACUAAAAGGUCUAUCUCUGUAGGGAUCCAUCCCAUAAUGUUGUCAGACAGGUAGAAUAAUAAUCAGAGUCUGU
Long non-coding RNA from Sander lucioperca (pikeperch), 193 nucleotides. RefSeq lists it as uncharacterized. NCBI's taxonomy places the organism in Eukaryota, Metazoa, Chordata, Actinopteri, Perciformes, Percidae. The transcript is spliced from 2 exons. The record is from RefSeq and is a predicted model, not a curated record.